This 452-nucleotide ribosomal RNA is filed under the name uncultured Synechococcus sp. RNAcentral describes it as "bacterial SSU rRNA". It matches the Rfam family "Bacterial small subunit ribosomal RNA", at positions 8 to 508 of the family's 1533-position model. The record is from RNAcentral. Lineage: Bacteria; Bacillati; Cyanobacteriota; Cyanophyceae; Synechococcales; Synechococcaceae.
AGGCUUUGAUCCUGGCUCAGGAUGAACGCUGGCGGCGUGCUUAACACAUGCAAGUCGAACGAACCUUCGGGUUAGUGGCGGACGGGUGAGUAACGCGUGAGAAUCUGCCCUCAGGAGGGGGAUAACGGCUGGAAACGGCCGCUAAUACCCCAUAUGCCGAGAGGUGAAACGAAUUUCGCCUGAGGAUGAGCUCGCGUCUGAUUAGCUAGUUGGUGGGGUAAAGGCUACCAAGGCGACGAUCAGUAGCUGGUCUGAGAGGAUGAUCAGCCACACUGGGACUGAGACACGGCCCAGACUCCUACGGGAGGCAGCAGUGGGGAAUUUUCCGCAAUGGGCGAAAGCCUGACGGAGCAACGCCGCGUGAGGGAUGAAGGCCUCUGGGCUGUAAACCUCUUUUCUCAAGGAAGAAGAUCUGACGGUACUUGAGGAAUAAGCCAUGGCUAUAUCCGUGC